AGCCCUACGGGGUGCAGCAGUUAGGAAUUUUCUGCAAUGUACGAAAGUAUGACAGAUUGAGUCAGAGUGCUUUUCAUAUGAAAAGCUUUUGCCAAAUGUAAAAAGUUUGGCGAAUAAGGACUGGGUAAGACGAGUGCCAGCCGCCGCGGUAAUACUCGCGGUCCAAGUCGCAGCCAUCAUUAUUGGGUCUAAAACAUCCGUAGCUUGCUUAAUAAGUUUCUUGUGAAAUUCCAUGUCUCAAAUAUGGAGCGGGCAAGAAGUACUGUUAAGCUAGAGACUGGAAGGCGUAAGAAGUACGUUUGGAGUAGCGGUAAAAUGUGUUAAUCCCAGACGGACUAACAACAGCGAAGGCAUCUUACGAGGACAGUUCUGACAGUAAGGGAUGAAGGCUAGGGGCGCAAAAGGGAUUAGAUACCCCUGUAGUCCUAGCAGUAAACACUGCACACUAAACAUUAGUACCUCCUCGAGAGGUGUUAGUGCUGAAGAGAAGUCGAAGAGUGUGCUACCUGGGAAGUAUAGUCGCAAGGCUGAAACUUAAAGGAAUUGGCGGGGAGACACUACAACGGGCGACGCGUGCGGUUCAAUUAGAU
Molecule: ribosomal RNA, 590 nt
Filed under: uncultured archaeon
Lineage: Archaea
Description: bacterial SSU rRNA
Rfam family: Archaeal small subunit ribosomal RNA
Source: RNAcentral